This 1393-nucleotide long non-coding RNA is filed under the name Homo sapiens (human). RNAcentral describes it as "long non-coding RNA NONHSAT163980.1". Lineage: Eukaryota; Metazoa; Chordata; Mammalia; Primates; Hominidae. The record is from RNAcentral.
AUGGGCAGGCGCAGUGGUGCUGGGCACACGUGGAGCUGCGCGUGGAGGAGUCCAGGCUGCAGCCGAGGGAGCUGAGUAGGGCAAAGUUAGGAGUCGCUGUUUGGAUGGCAAGUUCAGAAGUUGGAACUUGUCUCAGUUUCCCCGCUCCAGAAAUGGGGUUGUGAUAUAAAGACAGGGAUAUGAGUGAAGAAAACACAGAGCCACCCUGGAAAGGCACCCUCUUACGCACAGUCGGAUGGUCUAUGGAGACUCACAAUCAUGUGCAAUCUGGAACAGGCCCUGUGCUAGAUGCUGGGGCAGUGACAGACCCUGAGUGGAUGGGAGGCAUCAGAGGGGUAAGUAGGAAAAAGCUAGGGGAAGGGAAGGAUCCCACAGAAGGGACUGCACAGGCCACCACAUGGAGACUUGAGAGAGAGGAGCAAACAGAGAACAUGAAGGAGCUCCAGGCUGCUGGAGAGCAAACCCUCCUACUCUUCCCAGAGAGCCAGGGAUCCCAAGGUGCAAAGUUUGGAGCCAGGGGCAGGCUGAGCCUCUGUUCUCCUAGUUCCAGCCUCGGCUCUUUAAUGAAAAUUGUCAGUCAAGUAAGACUCCGUCAUCACCUUCCAGCAAAGAAUGAGUGGGGAGAUCUGAGAAUCGAUACUGAACAGCUUCAGUACUACGAUGUCAUAAUGGGGCUGUGAGCUCAGCCGAAAGCCCCCCGCCCAGUUUUUUUUGGAAGUGGUCAUAGAAUCUCUCUGGAGAAACAACAUGGAAAUGGAGACCAAAAGAGGGAAGGAGGGAUGCCACCAGAUGACACUGGGAUCCCGGAAGACGGAACACUGUGUGCAACGGGCAAAGUGUUCUCCACAGGCUCAGUACUUUACAGACGUCACCUCACGUAACCCACGCCACAACCGGGAGAAAGACAUGAUUGGCGUUGUACCCACGAGGAAACAGAGAGGGAAGGGAGCUGUCCAGGACCACGGGAACUUUUCAAAAGGGAUUUCAACCUCUGACCACCUGGAGACAGGCGACUGGCGCUCAUUGUAAAUGCACCGACAUGACAGGGAACAGCUGCUGGGGAGGUGGAGACGGGUGCCGGGAGAGACAGGAAACCCCAGAGGCUUGGAAAUCCAGGAGCCACAGGAAGCAGUGAGCUUUCUGCGGAGCCGGAUCCGGUGGAGCCAAUUCACCAGCAGGUCCCGGCAGCAACUCUUCUACAACAGAUUCCUGCCCGUCCCUGUGCCCCAUCGCCCCCCUGCCGUCAAUCUCCACCUCAAGGGAGCCAGACCAAGCCUUUCUGUGUGUAGCGCACAUCUCUCCUGCGUAGAGCUCACCUAGUGGCUUCCAUAGCUUUUUUUUUUUUUUUUUUGGAGACAGGGUCUUGCCCUGUCACCCAGGCUGGGGUACGGUG